CCUACGGGAGGCAGCAGUGAGGAAUAUUGGUCAAUGGGCGUAAGCCUGAACCAGCCAAGUCGCGUGAGGGAUGAAGGUUCUAUGGAUCGUAAACCUCUUUUAUAAGGGAAUAAAGUGUGGGACGUGUCCUGUUUUGUAUGUACCUUAUGAAUAAGGAUCGGCUAACUCCGUGCCAGCAGCCGCGGUAAUACGGAGGAUCCGAGCGUUAUCCGGAUUUAUUGGGUUUAAAGGGUGCGUAGGCGGCCUUUUAAGUCAGCGGGGAAAGUCUGUGGCUCAACCAUAGAAUUGCCGUUGAAACUGGGAGGAUUGAGUAUGUUUGAGGCAGGCGGAAUGCGUGGUGUAGCGGUGAAAUGAUUAGAUAUCACGAAGAACUCCGAUUGCGAAGGCAGCUGACUAAACUGCCACUGACAUUGAUGCUCGAAAGUGUGGGUAUCAAACAGGAUUAGAUACCCUUGUAGUC
This 460-nucleotide ribosomal RNA is filed under the name uncultured bacterium. Its description in RNAcentral is "partial 16S ribosomal RNA". It matches the Rfam family "Bacterial small subunit ribosomal RNA", at positions 338 to 795 of the family's 1533-position model. The record is from RNAcentral.